Molecule: ribosomal RNA, 442 nt
Filed under: uncultured bacterium
Lineage: Bacteria
Description: partial 16S ribosomal RNA
Rfam family: Bacterial small subunit ribosomal RNA
Source: RNAcentral
CCUACGGGUGGCAGCAGUAGGGAAUCUUUCACAAUGGGCGAAAGCCUGAUGGAGCAACGCCGCGUGCAGGAUGAAGGCCUUCGGGUUGUAAACUGCUUUUAUAAGCGAGAAAUAUGAUGGUAACUUAUGAAUAAGGAUCGGCUAACUACGUGCCAUCAGCCGCGGUCAUACGUAUGCUCAGAGCAUUAUCCGGAGUGACUGGGUGUAAAGAGUUGCGUAGGUGGCAUAAUAAGUAGCUAGUGAAAUCUGGUGGCUCAACCAUUCAGACUAUUAGCUAAACUGUUAAGCUCGAGACCGUUAGGGGUAACUGGAAUUUCUAGUGUAGGAGUGAAAUCCGUAGAUAUUAGAAGGAACACCAAUAGCGUAGGCAGGUUGCUGGGACGGUUCUGACACUAAGGCACGAAAGCGUAGGGAGCAAACGGGAUUAGAUACCCUUGUAGUC